RNAcentral lists this ribosomal RNA (301 nucleotides) under uncultured bacterium. Its description in RNAcentral is "partial 16S ribosomal RNA". It matches the Rfam family "Bacterial small subunit ribosomal RNA", at positions 509 to 807 of the family's 1533-position model. The record is from RNAcentral.
CAGUCGCCGCGGUAAAACGAAGGGUGCAAGCGUUAAUCGGAAUUACUGGGCGUAAAGGGUGCGUAGGCGGUUGUUUAAGUCUGUUGUGAAAUCCCCGGGCUCAACCUGGGAAUGGCAAUGGAUACUGGACAGCUAGAGUGUGUCAGAGGAUGGUGGAAUUUCCGGUGUAGCGGUGAAAUGCGUAGAGAUCGGAAGGAACAUCAGUGGCGAAGGCGGCCAUCUGGGACAACACUGACGCUGAGGCGCGAAAGCGUGGGGAGCAAACAGGAUUAGAUACCCGCGUAGUCCCUGUCUCUUAUAC